RNAcentral lists this ribosomal RNA (253 nucleotides) under uncultured bacterium. Its description in RNAcentral is "partial 16S ribosomal RNA". It matches the Rfam family "Bacterial small subunit ribosomal RNA", at positions 524 to 776 of the family's 1533-position model. The record is from RNAcentral.
UACGUAGGGGGCAAGCGUUGUCCGGAAUCAUUGGGCGUAAAGAGCGUGUAGGCGGCUCGGUAAGUCCGCUGUGAAAGUCCAGGGCUCAACCCUGGAAUGCCGGUGGAAACUGUCGAGCUCGAGUCCGGAAGAGGCGAGUGGAAUUCCUGGUGUAGCGGUGAAAUGCGCAGAUAUCAGGAAGAACACCAAUGGCGAAGGCAGCUCUCUGGGACGGUACUGACACUGAGACGCGAAAGCGUGGGGAGCGAACAGG